Molecule: long non-coding RNA, 663 nt
Filed under: Marmota monax (woodchuck)
Lineage: Eukaryota; Metazoa; Chordata; Mammalia; Rodentia; Sciuridae
Source: RNAcentral
AAACCUAUCCCCAUGCACCCUGAGGCCUCUGCCAAAGACAGCAGCUGUCACAGACUGAGAACACUGUACAGUCACCCCUUACCCUGCAACCUUCGGAAGUGUCAGAAUCUAAGAGUGUAGGCUCAGAGAAAUAAAGCCUCAAAAAGCAGUGGAUCCAGGACUUGAGUUCAGGUCUGUCAGGUACCAAGGCCACAUUCUCUAGGCACUGCACAAAGCCCCUUCCCCUCUGAUCGACACAGAGCUGGGCCCAUGGUGGUAUUCAGGAGAACCAGGGAUGUUUGCAAACAAUGGAGCCCCUCUAGCUAAUUUAAGCAGAAAACAAUUUUAUGGAAGGCAUCAAUUAAAUCUGAACAGAACCAGAGACUUAAUCUCUGGGGGUGUUGUGGCACCUCCUCCUCCACCGAAAAUCUGAGCUAAGCUUCUCCAAAAAUCUUCACCAUAAUUGAUUUUAGGACUAUCAGCAAAAAGUCUCUACAAAAGAGUUCAAUGUAAGUGAACUUCCUAUUUUCCUGUUGCUCUAUUUUACUUGGCUACUGGCCUGGAAGAAAUCAGCACUCCAGGUGCUGAAUGCCUCUUUACUAGUUUUUCACAAACAUUUAUUCAGUAUAGUAGUUUGUAGAAAUGUGUUUGCAAAUGCGAAAUGUGAUAAUAAAAAGAUAAAUC